AUGUGUGUACUAUCGCCAUGGUGGGGGCGAGGAGUUAUGCUUUGCUUGUAUGUUGAUGACAUACUGAUUUUCGGAACAAAUCUGAAUGUUAUUAACGAGGUCAAGGAUUUCCUAUCUCGCUAUUUUGAGAUGAAGGAUUUAGGAGUGGCUGAUGUCAUUUUGAACAUCAAGUUGUUGAAAGAUGAUGAUGGUGGGAUUACAUUGCUUCAAUCUCACUAUGUGGAAAAGAUAUUGAGUCGCUUUGGCUAUAGUGACUGCAAGCCCUCUCCAACACCAUAUGAUGCUAGCGUGUUGCUUCGAAAGAAUCAAAGAAUUGCUAGAGAUCAAUUGAAGUAUUCUCAGAUUAUUGGCUCGCUUAUGUACUUAGCCAGUGCUACAAGACCUGACAUCUCUUCUGCUAUAAAGGCCACGAGUGGAUAUAUGUUCACUCAUGGAGGUGGCGCUGUUUCUUGGAAGUCUUGCAAGCAGACCAUCUUAACGAGGUCAACUAUGGAAGCAGAACUCACAGCACUAGAUACAGCUACGGUCGAAGCAGAUUGGCUUCGCCGGCUCUUGAAUGACUUUCCGGUUGUUGAGAAACCUGUACCGGGUAUCCUUAUGAACUGUGACAAUCAAACUAACAUCUUUUGA
RNAcentral lists this ribosomal RNA (630 nucleotides) under Triticum aestivum (bread wheat). Its description in RNAcentral is "partial small subunit ribosomal RNA". Lineage: Eukaryota; Viridiplantae; Streptophyta; Magnoliopsida; Poales; Poaceae. The record is from RNAcentral.